Long non-coding RNA from Dinoponera quadriceps, 3245 nucleotides. RefSeq lists it as uncharacterized. The transcript is spliced from 3 exons. The record is from RefSeq and is a predicted model, not a curated record. NCBI's taxonomy places the organism in Eukaryota, Metazoa, Arthropoda, Insecta, Hymenoptera, Formicidae.
UAAAUAAUUUAUAAGUUAACAACAUAUUUUGCUUAGGGGUCAUUGCUAAUCACUGUUUUAAUUUUAGUAUGAAAUAGACUCAUCACAUACAUUUUAGUAAGGCAAAAAUUUAACACUUAUUCUUGCACGUUAUCAAUGUGGACUGACGUCAUCGGCAACGCGGUGUAGUAGAAACGCAGAUGUAGAAACAGCUUGUCUUUCUGGAAUGUUUACUACUAUCUUUUCUUACAAAUACAGGAACUGAGACAUGCGAGAGAAUUUUUCGGAAAAAUAAUAUAAAAAGCGUGCGUAAUAUAAAAAGCGUAUAUAGCCAGGAGAGACAGUUCCUAUUUUUAAGAAAUGCAAACACCAUUUCUCACAGGUCAAUCGCAAAAUUAUGAUCUAUACGUUUAGUUUCUUUUUUUUCUUGCUCUGCGUCGCGUAACUUGCAUGUCGCAACGUUGCUCAUUGGGACCAUUGGGAAGCUGAAGUGUAUAUGAUUUGUGUUGUAUGUGAAAUAUUAGUUGGUAAACUUAAUUCCUGCCGCUCGCUAUUAGAAGUGCCGGCUCCAACGCUGGCGAGUUUCGACGAUGAAGUCGCAUGUUUUGUGUAGUUUAGACAUUACUGAAAGUGAUUCAAUCCUCACAGAUUAGAUUUUUCGAUGACAAACAAAUUUUCCAGUCGAUUGAAAAUGAACCGCGAUAAUCUGUUUUUCCGAGAUGUGCUUCUUCACUACUUCGACCUCAAGAAAACCGCAGCUGAAACGCAUCGCUUAUUAUCCGAAGUGUAUGAUGAUGAAACUCCAUCGGAAAGAACAUGUAGCAUUUAGUUUGAACGCUUUCGAAAAGGCGAUUUUGACUUGAGAGACAAAGAACGUUCCGGACAGUCGGAAAAAUUUGAAGAUGUCGAGCUGUAAGAAUUGUUCGAUGAGAAUUCAGCUCAACGCUUUUAGAGUUGUCGAAAGCGUUAAAUGUUACUCUAAUGGCCAUCUCAAAAUGUCAUGGGAAAAAUUCAUAAAGAAGGGAUAUGGUUACCAUAUGAGUUGUUAGAAAAUGCCGUUUUGAAUCGUUUGUCUAUCGCGACUUCUUUGCUUGUCAGGCAUAGAAAAGAGUUUUUUGUGGCGUAUCGUGACUAGCGAUGAAAAAUGGAUUUAUUUUGAUAAUCCCAAGCGGAGGAAAUCAUGGGCCGAUCUCGACCAACUAUCCAUCUCAACGCCGAAAAGGAAUAUUCAUUGGCAUAAGACUUUGCUCUGCAUUUGGUGGAACUAGGACGGUGUACUGUAUUAUGAGCUCUCGCGUCCAUACGAAACCGUUUCAGCUGAUCGCUACCAAUAGCAAUUAUGCCGAUUGAGUGACGAGUUAAUGCAGAAAAGACCAUCCGUAACCAACAAUCAACGCAAAGUCAUUCUUUUUUCAUGAUAACGUUUGACCGCAUGUUGCGAAAAGCGUAAAGCAGACACUUCUACAGUAUAAAUGGGAAAUCCUCUUGCAUUCAGCGUACUUUUCAGACAUGGCACCGUAGGAUUACUAUCUCUUCCAGUCGAUGGAACACGCACUUACAGACACACGCUUCUUCAUUUACGAAGAAGUUUAAAAAUGGAUGGAUGAAUGGAUCACCUCGAGAGACACCGCGUUCUAUCGUCGUGGGAUUGUCCUGUUGCCGGAGAGCUGGGAAAAGGUAAUAGAAAAUGGAGGAAAUUAUUUUGAUUAAGGUAUUUAUUUAUCUUCCCUUCGAAAUAAAUUAAUUUUGGAGACGAAAUAGCGUCAGGAAUUAAGUUUAUCACCUAAUAUAUCUUGCUUAUGAAUUGACAGAGUUGGAAUUCGAGUAAAUCACCAAAUUCUUUUUUCUCAUUGCUCGUGCAAACGCAAACAAACAGAAGAUAGGAAGUGAGCAAGAAGAGUUAGCAAUAAAAACUUAUUUGUUGUAGCAAGUGAAAGUGAUUAAGAAGAGACGGAUUGCCUUAUUGAAAAAGAAAUGAGCAUUAACUCAAAAGACAGGGGUAGUGAUAUACCCUUACAUACAGGGCAAACGGGAACGAUAAUUUAAAAGUUAAUAAAUUUUUUCAAAGUGGAGAGGCGAUUAUUAAAAUUAAAAGCAAUAAAUAUGAAAUUCCAAUAGAUAUUGCUAAACAUAUUAUUAGACAAAUUAUUAUUAAAGUCUUAGUAAUUUCAUUAAGUACAAAACCACACAUAUAAUCUUAAUACGAAAAAUUGUUAAAUGAAUAUGGUUUGGUCAUGGUAGGUUGAACUUGAAGCAGGUCAAGUCUCACAGCUUUUGGAUGAAGAUAUUAACCAGAUAUCUAUAAUAUCAAGACAAUAAGGUCAAUUUUGACAAGAAGGUCGCAUGUUUUAAUUACCUUUCGUAACUAGAAAUGGCCAAGGAAUGUACAAGUGUUACAGUUAGAUGUAAUAUCACAGUUUAAGGAGGAAGAUGCAAUAGAGUUUAUCAAAAAAUCACUCAACAUAGAACAGAAAAUGCAAUGAGGCAGAGAGAAAAUGGAAAUAAUUCUUUAAGAGAUUUUAAAUAUUGUGAGUGCGAGCGUGGCGUAACAGACAGUGCACUGGUCUGUUAUAUUGGAGUUCUCGGGUUCGCCUCGACAGAACCAAAAUAUUUGCAUAUGCUCGUAUCUCCUCUCCGAUGGACUGACAUCCAUCGAGAGUAUCUCUGCCGCAAAAACUACACUCAAAACUGCCGUUCGGAAUCGGCGUUAAACUGUAAGUCCCAUAUACUUGUAUAUAAAAUAUGCGUGCGCACCACAAGUAUAUGUAUGUGGGGUUUGUACGACAUUGAAAGAUGUUAUAAAUCCGACAUAUACAGAUAUUGUGUCUUAGAUCCUGAUGAUAUCUCCGCAGAUAUGUUUUUAAAUUUUGUAAGUGAUGAAACAAAAUUAGGAUUUGCUACUGAAUUAUCAAAGCAAUAUUCAAUGCUUAGUUUAGAACAUACAAUACUUAAUUUGCAUAGUACUACUAGUAUAGCAAGCAACCAAAAUACAAUUAGAAGAGCAAAAUAACGAAGAAGAGAUUUUAACAAAAACUCUAAAAUUAUUUAUCAAAGAUAAUGUAAGUUUGAAAAAUUUAGAUCACUCAAAAUCUAUUUACGAGGGUGGAUCAAAUAUAAACGAGCCUUUUUAAAUUGCGCGCCUGUCGGCGGCAUGAGGGGUCUGCAACGUAUUGGACAGUGGAGGGGAGUCAUGUAAGUGGAGGGAAGGCAGUAAUAACGUUAGUGCCCCACGUGCUUCUUACUUUUAGCAGUAAUCAUGAUGAGCG